This 486-nucleotide ribosomal RNA is filed under the name uncultured bacterium. Its description in RNAcentral is "bacterial SSU rRNA". It matches the Rfam family "Bacterial small subunit ribosomal RNA", at positions 28 to 524 of the family's 1533-position model. The record is from RNAcentral.
GACGAACGCUGGCGGCGUGCUUAACACAUGCAAGUCACGGGGGCUCAGCAAUGGGCAACCGGCGAACGGGUGCGUAACACGUGAGCAACCUGCCGAUCUGAGGGGGAUAGCCGGCCCAACGGCCGGGUAAUACCGCAUACGCUUUCUUGGCCUCCUGGCUAGGGAAGGAAACCUCCGGGGCAGAUCGAGGGGCUCGCGGCCUAUCAGCUAGUUGGCGGUGUAAUGGACCACCAAGGCGACGACGGGUAGCUGGUCUGAGAGGAUGGCCAGCCACAUUGGGACUGAGAGACGGCCCAGACUCCUACGGGAGGCAGCAGUGGGGAAUCUUGCGCAAUGGCCGAAAGGCUGACGCAGCGACGCCGCGUGUGGGAUGAAGCAUUUCGGUGUGUAAACCACUGUUGCCCGGGACGAACAUCCUCUUUCGAGAGGACUGACGGUACCGGGUGAGGAAGCACCGGCUAACUCCGUGCCAGCCGCCGCAGUAAC